GACGAACGCUGGCGGCGUGCCUAAUACAUGCAAGUAGAACGCUGAAGCUUGGUGCUUGCACCGAGCGGAUGAGUUGCGAACGGGUGAGUAACGCGUAGGUAACCUGCCUGGUAGCGGGGGAUAACUAUUGGAAACGAUAGCUAAUACCGCAUAAGAGUAGAUGUUGCAUGACAUUUGCUUAAAAGGUGCAAUUGCAUCACUACCAGAUGGACCUGCAUUGUAUUAGCUAGUUGGUGAGGUAACGGCUCACCAAGGCAACGAUACAUAGCCGACCUGAGAGGGUGAUCGGCCACACUGGGACUGAGACACGGCCCAGACUCCUACGGGAGGCAGCAGUAGGGAAUCUUCGGCAAUGGACGGAAGUCUGACCGAGCAACGCCGCGUGAGUGAAGAAGGUUUUCGGAUCGUAAAGCUCUGUUGUAAGAGAAGAACGAGUGUGAGAGUGGAAAGUUCACACUGUGACGGUAUCUUACCAGAAAGGGACGGCUAACUACGUG
RNAcentral lists this ribosomal RNA (497 nucleotides) under uncultured bacterium. RNAcentral describes it as "partial 16S ribosomal RNA". It matches the Rfam family "Bacterial small subunit ribosomal RNA", at positions 28 to 507 of the family's 1533-position model. The record is from RNAcentral.